RNAcentral lists this ribosomal RNA (501 nucleotides) under Triticum aestivum (bread wheat). Its description in RNAcentral is "partial small subunit ribosomal RNA". Lineage: Eukaryota; Viridiplantae; Streptophyta; Magnoliopsida; Poales; Poaceae. The record is from RNAcentral.
AUGUUGACAUUGGCUACGAAAGGCAAUGAGACAAGUCAAUCAAGUGCCAAAUCUGAAGAGAAGAAGUUGAGAGUGCACAAGGUAAAACAAGAACUGUCAUUGCUUCAAACAAAGUUGCAGCCGGGGUGCCCACACGGCUUAUCAUAUUGGAAAAAGAAGAAAUUACAAAAACUUAGUGCACAAGAACUUGAAGAAAGGACCAUGACAUGGGUUCCCAAAGAAAGUGUGAAAAAUAAGAAUUAUGUGCAAGCUUCCAUUACAAGAAGUGCAGGAAAGGUGAAGAAGGAAAAGAGUGAAAACUAUAAAGGACCGAGCCAAAGGUUUCAGCAUCUUCGGUCUACACAUUAUCCAUAUUCUUCAACUAUGGCAUUAACGCCUAUGCCAUGGAAUUCGUCAUCAGGUAUAAUUGGUAACCCUCAAUGGGCUUAUUUUAUUCCAUGGAUGCAAUAUAAUUUCUUACAUCAUGAAAGGGUAUUACCAAGUCACUAUACAUUUGAUUAG